CGGGGUGCAGCAGGCGCGAAAACUUUACAAUGCUGGAAACAGCGAUAAGGGGACCUCGAGUGCCAGGUUACAAAUCUGGCUGUCGUGAUGCCUAAAAAGCAUUGCAUAGCAAGGGCCGGGCAAGACCGGUGCCAGCCGCCGCGGUAACACCGGCGGCUCGAGUGGUAACCGUUAUUAUUGGGUCUAAAGGGUCUGUAGCCGGCCGGAUAAGUCUCUUGGGAAAUCCAGCAGCUCAACUGUUGGGCUAUCAGGAGAUACUGUCAGGCUCGAGGCCGGGAGAGGUGAGAGGUACUUCAGGGGUAGGGGGGAAAUCCUGUAAUCCCUGAAGGACCCCCAGGGGGGAAGGGGUUUCACCAGAACGGACCUGACGGCAAGGGAAGAAAGCCAGGGGCACGAACCGGAUUAGAAACCCGGGGAGUUCCAGCGGUAAAAGAUACUCGGCAGGUGUCGGC
RNAcentral lists this ribosomal RNA (452 nucleotides) under uncultured archaeon. RNAcentral describes it as "bacterial SSU rRNA". It matches the Rfam family "Archaeal small subunit ribosomal RNA", at positions 326 to 778 of the family's 1478-position model. The record is from RNAcentral.